RNAcentral lists this long non-coding RNA (225 nucleotides) under Setaria italica (foxtail millet). Its description in RNAcentral is "long non-coding RNA (SITA_LNC003856)". The record is from RNAcentral. Lineage: Eukaryota; Viridiplantae; Streptophyta; Magnoliopsida; Poales; Poaceae.
CAGAUUCAUGUUCCCAAAUUUCAGGAAUGGAUAUCAAGGCCUAUAUUCUAUCCUGUGGGUUAUCCUUAGGGGUUACACUCUUGUUAUGUUUGUUGUGUAAUAUUUCACCUCUGCUUUCCCGCAGAGCAGUCAAAAAAGUCUUGUGGACCCUUGGGUGGUCCAAGUAACUGGUCUGUUUGUUCCAAUAGUUGAUAUGACAAUUAAGAAUUAUGAUUAUCCUGUGCU